Molecule: ribosomal RNA, 468 nt
Filed under: uncultured bacterium
Lineage: Bacteria
Description: partial 16S ribosomal RNA
Rfam family: Bacterial small subunit ribosomal RNA
Source: RNAcentral
GACGAACGCUGGCGGCGUGCUUAACACAUGCAAGUCGAACGGAAAGGCCCUGCUUUUGUGGGGUGCUCGAGUGGCGAACGGGUGAGUAACACGUGAGUAACCUGCCCUUGACUUUGGGAUAACUUCAGGAAACUGGGGCUAAUACCGGAUAGGAGCUCCUGCUGCAUGGUGGGGGUUGGAAAGUUUCGGCGGUUGGGGAUGGACUCGCGGCUUAUCAGCUUGUUGGUGGGGUAGUGGCUUACCAAGGCUUUGACGGGUAGCCGGCCUGAGAGGGUGACCGGCCACAUUGGGGCUGAGAUACGGCCCAGACUCCUACGGGAGGCAGCAGCGGGGAAUAUUGCACAAUGGGCGGAAGCCUGAUGCAGCAACGCCGCGUGCGGGAUGACGGCCUUCGGGGUGUAAACCGCCUUCGCCUGUGACGAAGCGUGAGGGACGGUAAUGGGUAAAGAAGCACCGGCUAACUACGUG